UCAAGCUACUAAGGGCACACGGUGGAUGCCUUGGCGCCAGAGGCCGAUGAAGGACGCUGCCGGCGGCGAAAGGUCCGGGGAGCUGCCUAGCAAGCGUUGAUCCGGACGUUUCCGAAUGGGGGAACCUGGCUGGGGCAAACCCCAGUCAUCCUGUGCGGAAUCCAUAGGCACAGGAGGGCCAGUGGGGGAACUGAAACAUCUCAGUACCCCGAGGAAAAGAAAUCAACAGCGGGCUCUGCGGGGUCCACCAGGGCUCCGUGGGGUCCCUGAGAUUCCCCGAGUAGUGGCGAGCGAAAGGGGAAGAGCCCAAACCGUCGGUGUGCACAAGCCCUCAGGCGUUGCACCGGCGGGGUUGUGGGCCAUGGCCGGGCCGGGCUGAGGACCGGCCGGGAAGUUACAAAUCCUGUGUCUAGCCGAACCGUCCUGGAACGGCGGGCCACAGAGGGUGAAAGCCCCGUAGGCGAAAGGCACGGGACUUCCUGGGCCAUGGACCCGAGUACCGCGGGACACGUGGAAUCCCGCGGGAAGCUGGGGGGACCACCCUCCAAGGCUAAAUACCUCUGACGACCGAUAGUGCACGAGUACCGUGAGGGAAAGGUGAAAAGAACCCCGGGAGGGGAGUGAAAGAGAACCUGAAACCGUGUGCCUACAACCAGUCGGAGGGCUAUGCCGGCGUCCCCUCGGGGAUGCCGGAACGCCUGACGGCGUGCCUAUUGAAGAAUGAGCCGGUGAGUUACGGUGUGCAGCGAGCUUAAGGGGGCAAACCCCGGAGGCGUAGGGAAACCGAGUCUGAACAGGGCGCCGCUCCCGGAUGGGAGGUCAGGACUCCGUCCUGACAGUUGCACGCCGUAGACCCGAAACCGGGCGAGCUACCCAUGGCCAGGGUGAAGUCCCGCUAAUCCGGGAUGGAGGCCCGCACCCGUCGGUGUUGCAAAACCGUGGGAUGAGCUGUGGGUAGGGGUGAUAUGCCAAUCGAGCCCGGAGAUAGCUGGUUCUCCCCGAAAUGCAUUGAGGUGCAGCCUCGGGAAGCGUAGCCGUGCGGAGGUAGAGCACUGGAUGGGCUAGGGGGGCAGAAGCCCUACCGAACUCAACCAAACUCCGAAUGCCGCACGAGCGGUUCCCGGGAGUGAGACUACGGGGGAUAAGCUCCGUGGUCGAGAGGGGAACAGCCCAGACCGUCGGCUAAGGUCCCAAAGCGCUGGCUAAGUGGAGAAGGAAGUGGCAUCGCGAAGACAGCCAGGAGGUUGGCUUAGAAGCAGCCAUCCUUUAAAGAGUGCGUAAUAGCUCACUGGUCGAGCGAUGCUGCGCCGAAAAUUCAACGGGGCUCAAGCCAGCCACCGAAGCCACGGGUCCGCAGGAGAGGGCUCCUGCGGGCGGUAGGGGAGCGUUCCGCGCUAGGGUGAAGGCGGACCGUGAGGACCGCUGGACGAGGCGGAAGUGAGAAUGCCGGCAUGAGUAGCGAAAAGGCAGGUGAGAAUCCUGCCCGCCGUAAGCCUAAGGGUUCUUAAGGAAGGGUCGUCCGCUUAAGGUUAGGCGGGACCUAAGGCGAGGCCGAAAGGCGUAGCCGAUGGACAGCCGGUCGACAUUCCGGCCCCACCUAGACAUCGUUUGGAGCCGAGGGGGGACGCAGAAGGGUAGGCCUACCGGGUGGUGGAAGUCCCGGGCCAAGCCCGUAGGGGGGAGGGGUAGGCAAAUCCGCUCCUCCGGGUAAGACCCGACCCCGAGAGGCGAGUGCGAGCUGGGGUGAAUACCCCGGCGAAGUGGCCGAGCCCACGCUGCCGAGAAAAGCCUCGCGGUGAGAUGUCUAGGUGCCCGUACCGCAAACCGACACAGGUAGGCAGGCACUUAACGUGCCAAGGCGCGCGGGAGAACCCUCCUCAAGGAACUCGGCAAAAUGACCCCGUAACUUCGGAAGAAGGGGUGCCCCGUGUAGGGUGAGUGGCUCGCGCCACGAGCCUGAGGGGGCCGCAGAGAAUAGGCCCAGCCGACUGUUUAACAAAAACACAGGUCUCUGCUAACCCGUAAGGGGAAGUAUAGGGGCUGACGCCUGCCCAGUGCCGGAAGGUUAAGGGGAUGGGUUAGUCCGCUGGCUCGUCCGGCGGGCGACGCCCGGAACCGAAGCCCCGGUGAACGGCGGCCGUAACUAUAACGGUCCUAAGGUAGCGAAAUUCCUUGUCGGGUAAGUUCCGACCUGCACGAAAGGCGUAACGAGCUGGGCGCUGUCUCGAGGAGGGACCCGGCGAAGUUGUAGUACCCGUGAAGAUACGGGUUACCCGCGGCUGGACGGAAAGACCCCGUGGAGCUUUACUGCAGCCUGCUAUUGGAUUUGGCUUUAGCAUGUAUAGGAUAGGUGGGAGGCGGAGAAGCGGGGGCGCCAGCCUCCGUGGAGCCACCCUUGGAAUACCACCCUUGUUAAAGCUAAGUCCUAACCUGUGACCUGAUCGGCCACAGGGACAGUGGCAGGUGGGCAGUUUGACUGGGGCGGUCGCCUCCUAAACGGUAACGGAGGCGCCCAAAGGUCCCCUCAGCACGGUUGGAAACCGUGCGUCGAGUGCAAGGGCAUAAGGGGGCUUGACUGUGAGGCCUACAAGCCGAGCAGGGGCGAAAGCCGGGCCUAGUGAUCCUACGGCGGCAAGUGGGAGCGCCGUGGCUUAACGGAUAAAAGCUACCCCGGGGAUAACAGGCUGAUCUCCCCCGAGAGUCCACAUCGACGGGGAGGUUUGGCACCUCGAUGUCGGCUCAUCGCAUCCUGGGGCUGCAGUAGGUCCCAAGGGUUGGGCUGUUCGCCCAUUAAAGCGGUACGUGAGCUGGGUUCAGAACGUCGUGAGACAGUUCGGUCCCUAUCCACCGCGGGCGCAGGAGGCUUGAGGGGAGCCGCUCCUAGUACGAGAGGACCGGAGUGGACGGACCUCUGGUGUACCGGUUGUCCCGCCAGGGGCACGCGCCGGGUAGCCAUGUCCGGACGGGAUAAGCGCUGAAAGCAUCUAAGCGCGAAGCCCACCCCAAGAUGAGGCCUCCCACGGCGUCAAGCCGGUAAGGCCCCAGGUAGGCCACCUGGUUGAUAGGCCGGAGGUGUAAGGGCUGUAAGGCCUUGAGCCGACCGGUACUAAUCGGCCGAGGGCUUGAGCAC
This 3130-nucleotide ribosomal RNA is filed under the name Bacillota bacterium. RNAcentral describes it as "Firmicutes bacterium (sediment metagenome) 23S ribosomal RNA". It matches the Rfam family "Bacterial large subunit ribosomal RNA". The record is from RNAcentral. Lineage: Bacteria; Bacillati; Bacillota.